UAACACGAACCGUACGAACGUUAUUCGGAAUUACUGGGCUUAAAGGGUUUGUAGGCGGCCUUGUAAGUCGGGUGUGAAAUCCCUCGGCUCAACCGAGGAAUGGCGCCCGAUACUGCAAGGCUUGAGGGAGACAGGGGUUAGCGGAACUGAUGGUGGAGCGGUGAAAUGCGUUGAUAUCAUCAGGAACACCGGUGGCGAAAGCGGCUAACUGGGUCUCUUCUGACGCUGAGGAACGAAAGCUAGGGUAGCGAACGGGAUUAGAUACCCCGGUAGUCCUAGCUGUAAACGAUGAGCACUUAUCUGGGGAUCCCCCCAUAGGUUCCCGGAUGAAGCGAAAGUGUUAAGUGCUCCGCCUGGGGAGUAUGGUCGCAAGGCUG
RNAcentral lists this ribosomal RNA (377 nucleotides) under uncultured bacterium. RNAcentral describes it as "bacterial SSU rRNA". It matches the Rfam family "Bacterial small subunit ribosomal RNA", at positions 521 to 896 of the family's 1533-position model. The record is from RNAcentral.